UAGGGAAUCUUCCACAAUGGACGCAAGUCUGAUGGAGCAACGCCGCGUGAGUGAAGAAGGUUUUCGGAUCGUAAAGCUCUGUUGUUGGUGAAGAAGGAUAGAGGUAGUAACUGGCCUUUAUUUGACGGUAAUCAACCAGAAAGUCACGGCUAACUACGUGCCAGCAGCCGCGGUAAUACGUAGGUGGCAAGCGUUGUCCGGAUUUAUUGGGCGUAAAGCGAGCGCAGGCGGAAGAAUAAGUCUGAUGUGAAAGCCCUCGGCUUAACCGAGGAACUGCAUCGGAAACUGUUUGUCUUGAGUGCAGAAAGGGAGAGUGGAAUUCCAUGUGUAGCGGUGGAGUGCGUAGAUAAAUGGAAGAACACCAGUGGCGAAGGCGACUCUCUGGUCUGCAACUGACGCUGAGGCUCGAAAGGAUGGGUAGCGAACAGG
RNAcentral lists this ribosomal RNA (429 nucleotides) under Bacillota bacterium. RNAcentral's name for it is "Firmicutes bacterium partial 16S ribosomal RNA". It matches the Rfam family "Bacterial small subunit ribosomal RNA", at positions 355 to 776 of the family's 1533-position model. The record is from RNAcentral. Lineage: Bacteria; Bacillati; Bacillota.